This is a long non-coding RNA of Erythranthe guttata (spotted monkey flower), 897 nucleotides long. RefSeq lists it as uncharacterized. NCBI's taxonomy places the organism in Eukaryota, Viridiplantae, Streptophyta, Magnoliopsida, Lamiales, Phrymaceae. The record is from RefSeq and is a predicted model, not a curated record.
CACCCAUUUUUUUUUUUAUAUUUUUUAUGCCCUUUUCUUCUCUCUAAAUUUUCCUCUCGUCAUUGCGGCCGGCUUCUCCUUCCCUUCAUCUUCUGUUUCUUUCCCAAGAAAUUCAGCACCUAUCCCCUCUCUUUUACUCACAAUUAAUUGUUACUUCUAUUUUUUUUUCUUCUUCCCUCUCUAUCUCUUCCUUAUCUAAUUUGUUUUCUUCUUAUUCACCUUUUUUCUCCAUCCAUAUUCAGCCACACAUCUGUUCGGCAGCCCACGACCAAACCAGUCGGAUUCCGGCAAUCCACGGCCAGAUCCGUCAAAUUCCGGCAACCCACAGCCUACUCCACCAAGAUCCGGCCACCCCAGACGAACUCUGGCCAAAUCCCGCCACCAACAGCCUCCGACUCAACGUUUUGUAUAAAUUAAUACCGUGGACACUGUCAACAAGCACCAGAAAACAUCAACAAAACACCCGGUGAAAAGGUUAGGGUUUCUGGAUUUACGGUUUUUUUUUUCAAACUCCAACUCCGUUUCAAACAUGAAACCAUCGACGGCGGUAGACUGGGAAUCAAUUAUUGUGAUUUGGCAUCAGUGAUUUUAGGGUCUUGUGUAAAUUUUGUUCGAGUUCAAAUUUGAGGGCUCAAUGCAGCAACAGUCUGAUCGAAACCAGCUUUCUGCAUCAACAAGCUCGAGCACGUAACUGAGAAGGAUAUUGAUCUCGAACAUUGUUACAGAAGAAAUAUAUUUUUUAACUUGUAUCGAAUUGAAAAAUUAGGUGGCUUCCUUCAAUUUUAAUGCAAAACUCAUUCGAGUUUUCUUUCGGUCUAUGUAUUAUAUUUUUUGACUAUUGUGGAAUCAUAUGUAAAUUUGGUCUUCUAAGAAUUUUCUGUGAGAAUUUACUUGAUA